UAGGGAAUCUUCCACAAUGGGCGAAAGCCUGAUGGAGCAACGCCGCGUGUGUGAUGAAGGGUUUCGGCUCGUAAAACACUGUUGUAAGAGAAGAAUGACAUUGAGGGUAACUGUUCAAUGUGUGACGGUAUCUUACCAGAAAGGAACGGCUAAAUACGUGCUAG
This 164-nucleotide ribosomal RNA is filed under the name uncultured bacterium. RNAcentral describes it as "partial 16S rRNA". It matches the Rfam family "Bacterial small subunit ribosomal RNA", at positions 355 to 511 of the family's 1533-position model. The record is from RNAcentral.